AUGGCAUCUCUCUCUUCCUCAAGGAACUCCUCCUGGACACCAAAGCAGAACAAAUUAUUUGAGAAGGCUCUGGCUGUGUAUGACAAGGACACACAAGACCGCUGGCAUAAUGUGGCCAAGGCUGUGGGUGGAAAAUCUGUAGAGGAAGUAAAGAGGCACUAUGAGAUUCUGGUGCAGGAUCUCAUGCAUAUAGAAUCUGGCCAAGUCCCAAUACCCAAUUAUAAGGGCACUGGAAGCAGCGGCAGCAGAGGAAUUGGUGAUGAGCAGAGGUAAGAAUAAUGUUUUCAUGUUUAGUAAUUAUCUUUACUUUCUGAACAUUCAAAGUUAAUCCAUGCUGUCUUUUCUUCCUUCAGUGGUAUGUAGGACAUCCUAGUUUAGAAAGUGUGUUGGGGGACUCUUCACGGUCACAUUGUCAUCUACCAAGUUAUCAAUCAGUAAGGUCCAAGACUUAUAAAUAAAUAAAUUAAUUAGGAACCCAGAAGAGAUGUCCAAGUAUGAAUCUCUUUUACAAACUUAUAUGAAUAUUAGAGACAGGUACAAUUGCAUGUAGUGAUGGAAAUGGCAAAAAAGGCAAAAAAUGGCAAUGCAUGAAAAGCUUAAAACCAAUGGUAUGGUACUGGUAGGAGCUGCUAAAAAGCCAAAGAAGAGCAGAAUAUUAAGUUAAAUUAUAGCACUAUUAGCUGAAAUAUCUAAACGGCUGGUAACAAGUCCCACCGUAUCCUUUCCAUAAUAUCAUUAACCAGCUUUUCCUCUUUUGGGAUCGACAGUUCUAAAUAAAGACACUGACUUGAGUCUCCUCCCCAAUAAAUUUUAUAUGUUUUCUCUAAUUCUUUUGUAUAUCUAUCCACUAUCCCAUACUAUAUUCAACUUCAAUUCCUAAGAAAAAGCCCACAUGGAAUCUAAUCCUUACUUGUUUUGGAUCUCAUAUGCACAUGGUCCUAUGAUUAAAGUAAUUGAAUAUAGUCACCUGGUUCUUCCUAAAUGUAGAUGAGGAUCAUUGUGUGACGCCGAACUCUUGUUUUUAAUUACUUAUCACAUUCUUUCAUUAAUCCCAAGGGCUAGCUCGCAGUCGACAGUGACUGUUGGAUCUAGCUAAACCUCUUGGCAGCUUUUGUAGUUCAUCAUAUAUUUAUAAUUUUAUAUCUCUCACACUCACACACUGCAGCAACCAAUGUAUUACGUCGGCAGAUAUUUUUAAAAAUAGGGCAUCUUCCUUGAAAACGAAGCUCCCACCAUAAAGAGGCUAAUUAUGUCUAAAUGGGUGAGAUUAGCAAGAUAAUGGUGUCUUGGGAUAAUCUAAUUGACCAGUUCAAACUUAAAAGAUGCUAAUUGUUGCAAAAGCAACUACGACUUUCAUAUUAUCUACACGAUUUUCUAUGCUUACUUGGUAAUUGGGAAUUUUCUAAAUUUCUAAUGCUAAUUCCUUGUAAUCCAUUCAGGCUUAUGAAAAACCUAAAGAUCUGA
RNAcentral lists this long non-coding RNA (1464 nucleotides) under Prunus dulcis (almond). RNAcentral's name for it is "sRNA ncRNA". The record is from RNAcentral. Lineage: Eukaryota; Viridiplantae; Streptophyta; Magnoliopsida; Rosales; Rosaceae.